AUUCCAUGAUGGGGACAUUCUAGGAUGUAGUCUUGAAAGCGCUCCCAUGCCUCUGGAACAGAUUCAUCAUUUUGAUGCUGAAAACUUGUAAUCUUCCCACGGAGAGC
RNAcentral lists this small nucleolar RNA (107 nucleotides) under Sorghum bicolor (sorghum). RNAcentral describes it as "Plant small nucleolar RNA R71". It matches the Rfam family "Plant small nucleolar RNA R71". From Rfam's summary of the family: R71 is a member of the C/D box family of snoRNAs containing the C (UGAUGA) and D (CUGA) box motifs. Multiple nearly identical copies of this snoRNA have been identified in Arabidopsis, and it is thought to function as a 2'-O-ribose methylation guide for 18S ribosomal RNA. The record is from Rfam by way of RNAcentral. Lineage: Eukaryota; Viridiplantae; Streptophyta; Magnoliopsida; Poales; Poaceae.